This 347-nucleotide unclassified non-coding RNA is filed under the name soil metagenome. RNAcentral's name for it is "partial contains 5.8S ribosomal RNA, internal transcribed spacer 2, and large subunit ribosomal RNA". The stretch from base 1 to 120 matches the Rfam family "5.8S ribosomal RNA", at positions 35 to 154 of the family's 154-position model. The record is from RNAcentral.
GAUGAAGAACGUAGCGAAAUGCGAUAAGUAAUGUGAAUUGCAGAAUUCAGUGAAUCAUCGAGUCUUUGAACGCACAUUGCGCCCCCUGGUAUUCCGGGGGGCAUGCCUGUCCGAGCGUCAUUGCUGCCCUCAAGCACGGCUUGUGUGUUGGGCCCCGCCCCCCGGCUUCGGGGGGCGGGCCCGAAAGGCAGCGGCGGCACCGCGUCCGGUCCUCGAGCGUAUGGGGCUUCGUCACCCGCUCUGUAGGCCCGGCCGGCGCCCGCCGGCGACCCCAAUCAAUCUUUCCAGGUUGACCUCGGAUCAGGUAGGGAUACCCGCUGAACUUAAGCAUAUCAAUAAGCGGAGGA